AAAACUUUCAACAACGGAUCUCUUGGUUCUGGCGUCGAUGAAGAACGCAGCGAAAUGCGAUAAGUAAUGUGAAUUGC
Molecule: ribosomal RNA, 77 nt
Filed under: Calicium chlorosporum
Lineage: Eukaryota; Fungi; Ascomycota; Lecanoromycetes; Caliciales; Caliciaceae
Description: 5.8S ribosomal RNA
Rfam family: 5.8S ribosomal RNA
About the family: 5.8S ribosomal RNA (5.8S rRNA) is a component of the large subunit of the eukaryotic ribosome.
Source: RNAcentral